CGGCAGGCCUAACACAUGCAAGUCGAGGGGUAACAUAGAGAAGCUUGCUUUUCUGAUGACGACCGGCGCACGGGUGCGUAACGCGUAUGCAACCUACCUCUUACUGGAGGAUAGCCCGGAGAAAUCCGGAUUAACACUCCAUAGUAUUGUACUUUCGCAUGUUAGUACAAUUAAAGGUUACGGUAAGAGAUGGGCAUGCGUCCUAUUAGCUAGAUGGUAAGGUAACGGCUUACCAUGGCAACGAUGUUUAGGGGUCCUGAGAGGGUGAUCCCCCACACUGGUACUGAGACACGGACCAGACUCCUACGGGAGGCAGCAGUGAGGAAUAUUGGUCAAUGGGCGCAAGCCUGAACCAGCCAUCCCGCGUGAAGGAAGAAGGCGCUAUGCGUUGUAAACUUCUUUUCCAGGGGAAUAAAAUUCUGUACGUGUACGGAAUUGAAGGUACCCUGGGAAUAAGCAUCGGCUAACUCCGUGCCAGCCGCCGCGGUAAUAC
This 493-nucleotide ribosomal RNA is filed under the name uncultured bacterium. RNAcentral describes it as "bacterial SSU rRNA". It matches the Rfam family "Bacterial small subunit ribosomal RNA", at positions 40 to 526 of the family's 1533-position model. The record is from RNAcentral.